AUUGAACGCUGGCGGCAGGCCUAACACAUGCAAGUCGAGCGGAUGAAGGGAGCUUGCUCCUGGAUUCAGCGGCGGACGGGUGAGUAAUGCCUAGGAAUCUGCCUGGUAGUGGGGGAUAACGUCCGGAAACGGGCGCUAAUACCGCAUACGUCCUGAGGGAGAAAGUGGGGGAUCUUCGGACCUUACGCUAUCAGAUGAGCCUAGGUCGGAUUAGCUAGUUGGUGGGGUAAAGGCCUACCAAGGCGACGAUCCGUAACUGGUCUGAGAGGAUGAUCAGUCACACUGGAACUGAGACACGGUCCAGACUCCUACGGGAGGCAGCAGUGGGGAAUAUUGGACAAUGGGCGAAAGCCUGAUCCAGCCAUGCCGCGUGUGUGAAGAAGGUCUUCGGAUUGUAAAGCACUUUAAGUUGGGAGGAAGGGCAGUAAGUUAAUACCUUGCUGUUUUGACGUUACCAACAGAAUAAGCACCGGCUAACUUCGU
RNAcentral lists this ribosomal RNA (483 nucleotides) under uncultured bacterium. Its description in RNAcentral is "partial 16S ribosomal RNA". It matches the Rfam family "Bacterial small subunit ribosomal RNA", at positions 30 to 506 of the family's 1533-position model. The record is from RNAcentral.